RNAcentral lists this unclassified non-coding RNA (1074 nucleotides) under Pyricularia oryzae. RNAcentral describes it as "sequence contains 5.8S rRNA gene, ITS2". The stretch from base 653 to 806 matches the Rfam family "5.8S ribosomal RNA". Lineage: Eukaryota; Fungi; Ascomycota; Sordariomycetes; Magnaporthales; Pyriculariaceae. The record is from RNAcentral.
UCUCUUCUCUCUCCUCUAUGAGAGUGAAGCGAGCGUCUCUCCGGAGCGGGGGCGCAACCUUUAAUUGGGGUUUAAGGCGGAGAGAACCCCGGCGGGACUAUUCAGAAAGGAGGUUCGCUUUUCACCGUCGUUUUACUCCUCUCAAGGUUACCGACGAACCCCCCGAUGAACUUGGGCCCCGCCCAAGCCCCCCGGCCCCCCCCCCAACACAGCGAGCUGAGUGAAAUGACGCUCAACAGCAUGCCCGCCGAAUACCGCGGCGCAAUGUGCUUCAAAGAUUGAUGAUUCACGAAUUCUGCAAUUCACAUUACUUAUCGCAUUUCGCUGCGUUCUUCAUCGAUGCCAGAACCAAGAGAUCCGUUGUUGAAAGUUUUGAUUAUUUGUCUUUCAGGCUCAGAGAUACUGAAAAAAUAAGAGUUUUGAACCUCCGGCGGGCGUGCCCGCCGAAGCAACGACAGAGGUUAUGUUCACAGGGUUGGAGUUUUUCAACUCAGUAAUGAUCCUCUCAACAGGGGGGGGGAUCCUUUUUGAGUUCGGGUAUUCCAACCUGCGCCAAGAUCACCUCUGUCGUUGUUUCGGCGGGGCACGCCCGCCGGAGGUUCAAAACUCUUAUUUUUUCCAGUAUCUCUGAGCCUGAAAGACAAAUAAUCAAAACUUUCAACAACGGAUCUCUUGGUUCUGGCAUCGAUGAAGAACGCAGCGAAAUGCGAUAAGUAAUGGGAAUUGCGGAAUUCAGUGAAUCAUCGAAUCUUUGAACGCACAUUGCGCCCGCCGGUAUUCCGGCGGGCAUGCCUGUUCGAGCGUCAUUUCAACCCUCAAGCCUCGGCUUGGGUGGUUGGGGCGCCCGGGCCCUCCGCGGCCCGGGGCCCCCAAGUUCAUUCGGCGGGCUCGUCGGUACACUGAGCGCAGUAAAACGCGGUAAAACGCGAACCUCGAUCGGAUCGUCCCGGCGGGCUCCGGCCGCUAAACCCCCAACAGGGGGAGGGUGGACCGGGGAUGGAGAGGAAUACCCGCUGACGUUCGCUCCGCCGGGAAAAAAAAGAAGGUUAUUGAGAUGCUCUCCCCCCCGGGUGA